CGGACGGGUGAGUAACGCGUAAGAACUUACCCCUAGGAGAGGGAUACCAACUGGAAACGGUUGUUAAUACCUCGUAUGCUGAGGAGUGAAAGGGUUUCAACCCACCUAGGGAUAGGCUUGCGUCUGAUUAGCUUGUUGGUAAGGUAAAGGCUUACCAAGGCGAUGAUCAGUAGCUGGUCUGAGAGGACAAUCAGCCACACUGGGACUGAGACACGGCCCAGACUCCUACGGGAGGCAGCAGUGAGGAAUUUUCCGCAAUGGGCGAAAGCCUGACGGAGCAAUGCCGCGUGGAGGACGAAAGCCUGUGGGUCGUAAACUCCUUUUCUCAGAGAAGAAGUUCUGACGGUAUCUGAGGAAUAAGCAUCGGCUAACUCCGUGCCAGCAGCCGCGGUAAUACGGAGGAUGCAAGCGUUAUCCGGAAUCAUUGGGCGUAAAGCGUCCUGAGGUGGUUUGUUCAGUCUACUGUGAAAGCUCAGGGCUUAACCUUGAAAAUGCGGUAGAAACUAGCAAGCUAGAGUACAGUAGGGGCAGAGGGAAUUCCCGGUGUAGCGGUGAAAUGCAUAGAUAUCGGGAAGAACACCAAUGGCGAAAGCACUCUGCUGGGCUGAUACUGACACUGAAAGACGAAAGCUAGGGGAGCAAAAGGGAUUAGAUACCCCUGUAGUC
RNAcentral lists this ribosomal RNA (666 nucleotides) under uncultured cyanobacterium. RNAcentral describes it as "bacterial SSU rRNA". It matches the Rfam family "Bacterial small subunit ribosomal RNA", at positions 99 to 795 of the family's 1533-position model. The record is from RNAcentral. Lineage: Bacteria; Bacillati; Cyanobacteriota.